GACGAACGCUGGCGGCGUGCCUAAUACAUGCAAGUUGAGCGCUGAAGGUUGGUACUUGUACCAACUGGAUGAGCAGCGAACGGGUGAGUAACGCGUGGGGAAUCUGCCUUUGAGCGGGGGACAACAUUUGGAAACGAAUGCUAAUACCGCAUAAAAACUUUAAACACAAGUUUUAAGUUUGAAAGAUGCAAUUGCCUCACUCAAAGAUGAUCCCGCGUUGUAUUAGCUAGUUGGUGAGGUAAAGGCUCACCAAGGCGAUGAUACAUAGCCGACCUGAGAGGGUGAUCGGCCACAUUGGGACUGAGACACGGCCCAGACUCCUACGGGAGGCAGCAGUAGGGAAUCUUCGGCAAUGGACGAAAGUCUGACCGAGCAACGCCGCGUGAGUGAAGAAGGUCUUCGGAUCGUAAAACUCUGUUGGUAGAGAAGAACGUUGGUGAGAGUGGAAAGCUCAUCAAGUGACGGUAACUACCCAGAAAGGGACGCCUAACUACGU
This 496-nucleotide ribosomal RNA is filed under the name uncultured bacterium. RNAcentral describes it as "partial 16S ribosomal RNA". It matches the Rfam family "Bacterial small subunit ribosomal RNA", at positions 28 to 506 of the family's 1533-position model. The record is from RNAcentral.